Molecule: ribosomal RNA, 829 nt
Filed under: Dialonectria ullevolea
Lineage: Eukaryota; Fungi; Ascomycota; Sordariomycetes; Hypocreales; Nectriaceae
Description: eukaryotic LSU rRNA
Rfam family: Eukaryotic large subunit ribosomal RNA
Source: RNAcentral
AUUGCCCUAGUAACGGCGAGUGAAGCGGCAACAGCUCAAAUUUGAAAUCUGGCCCUUGGGUCCGAGUUGUAAUUUGUAGAGGAUGCUUUUGGUGAGGUGCCUUCCGAGUUCCCUGGAACGGGACGCCAUAGAGGGUGAGAGCCCCGUCUGGUUGGACACCGAGCCUCUGUAAAGCUCCUUCGACGAGUCGAGUAGUUUGGGAAUGCUGCUCUAAAUGGGAGGUAUAUGUCUUCUAAAGCUAAAUAUAGGCCAGAGACCGAUAGCGCACAAGUAGAGUGAUCGAAAGAUGAAAAGCACUUUGAAAAGAGGGUUAAAUAGUACGUGAAAUUGUUGAAAGGGAAGCGCUUAUGACCAGACUUGAGCCCGGUUAAUCAUCCAGCCUUCUGGCUGGUGCACUUGGCCGGCUCAGGCCAGCAUCAGUUCGGCGCGGGGGAUAAAGACUUCGGGAAUGUGGCUCCUCCGGGAGUGUUAUAGCCCGCUGUGUAAUACCCUGUACUGGACUGAGGUUCGCGCAUCUGCAAGGAUGCUGGCGUAAUGGUCAUCAGCGACCCGUCUUGAAACACGGACCAAGGAGUCGUCUUCGUAUGCGAGUGUUCGGGUGUCAAACCCCUACGCGUAAUGAAAGUGAACGCAGGUGAGAGCUUCGGCGCAUCAUCGACCGAUCCUGAUGUUCUCGGACGGAUUUGAGUAAGAGCAUACGGAGCCGGACCCGAAAGAAGGUGAACUAUGCCUGUAUAGGGUGAAGCCAGAGGAAACUCUGGUGGAGGCUCGCAGCGGUUCUGACGUGCAAAUCGAUCGUCAAAUAUGGGCAUGGGGGCGAAAGACUAAU